Molecule: ribosomal RNA, 461 nt
Filed under: uncultured Omnitrophica bacterium
Lineage: Bacteria; Pseudomonadati; Candidatus Omnitrophota
Description: bacterial SSU rRNA
Rfam family: Bacterial small subunit ribosomal RNA
Source: RNAcentral
UGUGUUCAAUUCGACGCUACGCGAAGAACCUCACCAGGGUUUGACAUAUAGGUAGUAGGAACCUGAAAGGGAGACGACUCGUUAAGCCGAGUGCCUAUACAGGUGUUGCAUGGCUGUCGUCAGCUCGUGCCGUGAGGUGUUGGGUUAAGUCCCGCAACGAGCGCAACCAUCAUCCUUAGUUGCUACCGAGGGAUCCGAAAGGGUCCUGGCGAGCACUCUAAGGAGACUGCCCGUGAUAAACGGGAGGAAGGUGGAGAUGACGUCAAGUCCGUAUGGCCCUUAUACCCUGGGCUACACACGUGUUACAAUGGGAUGUACAGAGCGUUGCCAAACCGCGAGGUGGAGCUAAUCGCAAAAAGCAUCCCCCAGUUCAGAUUGGAGUCUGCAACCCGACUCCAUGAAGUUGGAAUUGCUAGUAACGGCGGAUCAGCUACGCCGCCGUGAAUACGUUCCCGGGCCUU